UACAGAGGGUGCGAGCGUUAAUCGGAUUUAUUGGGCGUAAAGGGCGCGUAGGCGGGGAUAAUAGUCAGAUGUGAAAUCCUGGGGCUCAACCUCAGAACUGCAUUUGAAACUGUAUCUCUAGAGGGUAGGAGGAGAAAACGGAAUUCCACAAGUAGCGGUGAAAUGCGUAGAUAUGUGGAAGAACACCGGUGGCGAAGGCGGUUUUCUAUCUUAUUCCUGACGCUGAGGCGCGAAAGCAAGGGGAUCAAACAGG
Molecule: ribosomal RNA, 253 nt
Filed under: uncultured bacterium
Lineage: Bacteria
Description: partial 16S ribosomal RNA
Rfam family: Bacterial small subunit ribosomal RNA
Source: RNAcentral